GACGGGGGGGCAAGUCUUCUUCGGAAUGACUGGGCGUAAAGGGCACGUAGGCGGUGAAUCGGGUUGAAAGUCAAAGUCGCCAAAAACUGGCGGAAUGCUCUCGAAACCAAUUCACUUGAGUGAGACAGAGGAGAGUGGAAUUUCGUGUGUAGGGGUGAAAUCCGGAGAUCUACGAAGGAACGCCAAAAGCGAAGGCAGCUCUCUGGGUCCCUACCGACGCUGGGGCGCGAAAGCAUGGGGAGCGAACGGG
This 250-nucleotide ribosomal RNA is filed under the name uncultured bacterium. Its description in RNAcentral is "partial 16S ribosomal RNA". It matches the Rfam family "Bacterial small subunit ribosomal RNA", at positions 524 to 776 of the family's 1533-position model. The record is from RNAcentral.